GCCACUUUAGCUCAGUUGGUAGAGCGGCGCAUUCGUAACGCGCAGGUCACAAGUUCAAGCCUUGUAAGUGGCU
This 73-nucleotide transfer RNA is filed under the name Rikenellaceae bacterium. Its description in RNAcentral is "tRNA-Thr". It matches the Rfam family "tRNA". Rfam says of the family: Transfer RNA (tRNA) molecules are approximately 80 nucleotides in length. Their secondary structure includes four short double-helical elements and three loops (D, anti-codon, and T loops). Further hydrogen bonds mediate the characteristic L-shaped molecular structure. tRNAs have two regions of fundamental functional importance: the anti-codon, which is responsible for specific mRNA codon recognition, and the 3' end, to which the tRNAs corresponding amino acid is attached (by aminoacyl-tRNA synthetases). tRNAs cope with the degeneracy of the genetic code in two manners: having more than one tRNA (with a specific anti-codon) for a particular amino acid; and 'wobble' base-pairing, i.e. permitting non-standard base-pairing at the 3rd anti-codon position. The record is from RNAcentral. RNAcentral also lists the same sequence under 1 other name. Lineage: Bacteria; Pseudomonadati; Bacteroidota; Bacteroidia; Bacteroidales; Rikenellaceae.